GAAGUAAAAAGUCGUAACAAGGUCUCCGUUGGUGAACCAGCGGAGGGAUCAUUG
This 54-nucleotide ribosomal RNA is filed under the name Diaporthe phaseolorum. Its description in RNAcentral is "partial 18S ribosomal RNA". It matches the Rfam family "Eukaryotic small subunit ribosomal RNA", at positions 1778 to 1831 of the family's 1831-position model. Lineage: Eukaryota; Fungi; Ascomycota; Sordariomycetes; Diaporthales; Diaporthaceae. The record is from RNAcentral.